GCCCCCGUAGCCCAAUUGGCAGAGGCGGUCGACUUAAAAUCGAUUCAGUGCCGGUUCGAGCCCGGUCGGGGGCA
This 74-nucleotide transfer RNA is filed under the name Amycolatopsis arida. RNAcentral describes it as "Pseudonocardiaceae bacterium RA45 tRNA". It matches the Rfam family "tRNA". From Rfam's summary of the family: Transfer RNA (tRNA) molecules are approximately 80 nucleotides in length. Their secondary structure includes four short double-helical elements and three loops (D, anti-codon, and T loops). Further hydrogen bonds mediate the characteristic L-shaped molecular structure. tRNAs have two regions of fundamental functional importance: the anti-codon, which is responsible for specific mRNA codon recognition, and the 3' end, to which the tRNAs corresponding amino acid is attached (by aminoacyl-tRNA synthetases). tRNAs cope with the degeneracy of the genetic code in two manners: having more than one tRNA (with a specific anti-codon) for a particular amino acid; and 'wobble' base-pairing, i.e. permitting non-standard base-pairing at the 3rd anti-codon position. Lineage: Bacteria; Bacillati; Actinomycetota; Actinomycetes; Pseudonocardiales; Pseudonocardiaceae. The record is from Rfam by way of RNAcentral.